AAAUUUGUACCUUUUGUAUCAGGGAUUUUUUAUAUAAAUAUAGUAUAAAUUGUAUUUCGAAGUUA
Molecule: transfer RNA, 65 nt
Filed under: Thor amboinensis
Lineage: Eukaryota; Metazoa; Arthropoda; Malacostraca; Decapoda; Hippolytidae
Description: tRNA-Tyr
Source: RNAcentral